CGAAGGCAGCACACUAAGCCGUAACUGACGUUCGUGCUCGAAAGUGUGGGUAUCAAACAGGAUUAGAUACCCUGGUAGUCCACACGGUAAACGAUGGAUACUCGCUGUUGGCGAUAUACUGUCAGCGGCUUAGCGAAAGCGUUAAGUAUCCCACCUGGGGAGUACGCCGGCAACGGUGAAACUCAAAGGAAUUGACGGGGGCCCGCACAAGCGGAGGAACAUGUGGUUUAAUUCGAUGAUACGCGAGGAACCUUACCCGGGCUUAAAUUGCAAAGGAAUGAUUUGGAAACAGGUCAGUCUUCGGACCUUUGUGAAGGUGCUGCAUGGUUGUCGUCAGCUCGUGCCGUGAGGUGUCGGCUUAAGUGCCAUAACGAGCGCAACCCUCGCCGCCAGUUACUAACAGUUAAAGCUGAGGACUCUGGCGGGACUGCCAUCGUAAGAUGUGAGGAAGGUGGGGAUGACGUCAAAUCAGCACGGCCCUUACGUCCGGGGCUACACACGUGUUACAAUGGGCGGUACAGAAGGCAGCUACCUGGCGACAGGAUGCCAAUCCCUAAAGCCGCUCUCAGUUCGGACUGGAGUCUGCAACCCGACUCCACGAAGCUGGAUUCGCUAGUAAUCGCGCAUCAGCCACGGCGCGGUGAAUACGUUCCCGGGCCUUGUACACACCGCCCGUCAAGCCAUGAAAGCCGGGGGUACCUGAAGUGCGUAACCGCAAGGAGCGCCCUAGGGUAAAACCGGUAAUUGGGGCUAAGUCGUAACAAGGUAACCA
RNAcentral lists this ribosomal RNA (772 nucleotides) under uncultured bacterium. RNAcentral's name for it is "bacterial SSU rRNA". It matches the Rfam family "Bacterial small subunit ribosomal RNA", at positions 716 to 1502 of the family's 1533-position model. The record is from RNAcentral.